UACGUAGGGGGCAAGCGUUGUCCGGAUUUAUUGGGCGUAAAGAGCGUGUAGGCGGCCAGAUAGGUCAGCUGUGAAAACUCGAGGCUCAACCUCGAGAUGUCGGCUGAAACCAUCUGGCUAGAGUCCGGAAGAGGAGAAUGGAAUUCCCGGUGUAGCGGUGAAAUGCGCAGAUAUCGGGAAGAACACCCGUGGCGAAGGCGGUUCUCUGGGACGGUACUGACGCUGAGACGCGAAAGCGCGGGGAGCGAACAGG
This 253-nucleotide ribosomal RNA is filed under the name uncultured bacterium. Its description in RNAcentral is "partial 16S ribosomal RNA". It matches the Rfam family "Bacterial small subunit ribosomal RNA", at positions 524 to 776 of the family's 1533-position model. The record is from RNAcentral.